Long non-coding RNA from Caretta caretta (loggerhead turtle), 2577 nucleotides. RefSeq lists it as uncharacterized. NCBI's taxonomy places the organism in Eukaryota, Metazoa, Chordata, Testudines, Cheloniidae. The record is from RefSeq and is a predicted model, not a curated record.
CUCUGUAUCACACAUCUCCCAACACCUACUUAAUUAUUGUUGUUGUUGUUACUUGGUACUUCCUGCAGUGCACAUAUAUUCUCUGUAAUUUUAUCUUUCAACGUGUGUUAUUUUAGUGUUUUGACUGGUCUAUGCAUUUCAUAAUUUUUAUUUCUCUUUCAUAAAAUUUAUUACACUUUUAUAUUUUAAUUAUUUGACCAGUGAGUUCUAAAAUGCGUAACCUGUCCUGGCUGGAGUAAUUAUCCCUACUGGUAACUUUUAAAAAAUAUAUAUCUAGGUUUUUUGUUUCUACUGGUGGUGCAGAUUCCGCACAUUACCUUGGUGCAAAUAACAAAAUUUAUUCCGCACAUGGGUGAAAAAAUUAAAGGGAACAUUAUCAACAAUCCAGGGUGGGGUUUUUUUGGUUUUUAUUUUUUUGAGGCUAGUACGGCUGUCUAGAUUGUUGUUGUUGUUAAUUUAAAAGCUCAGAAGUCCCUAACCUUUAUGAUUGCAGAGACAACCUCCAAAUCAAGUGCAACCGAUGCUGUGACACUUGUUGAAUUUGAGAAUGCUGCCAUAUAUAAGCCUUGAGCUCCCAGCAUCCUUCACAUUUAUGUCAAUGGAACUACAAGGAGGAGAACAUCACUCUUAGAGAAGAAUGAGAGGUUGACCCAGAGGCGGAUUUGAGAACUGGCUUCUUUAUUGGGAUACUUGUUCCCCUGAACCCAAUUGUCGAGUGAUAUACUGUGGCUAUGUGACAUACGUGAUGUAACUGAAACACGAUCGUUGGCAGAUAACUCAAACUAUAGAAAAUGAUGGUAAUCUUGAAGGUGGAUAGUCUUCAGAAUCCUGUAUGUUAAGGAUGGAUUCUCCGAAACAAAAUAAGUCAAUGCAGUUAUUUAAUUAUUAUUACCAUACUCAUUGCAUUCACUGACACUCAGUACUACUUUAAAGGUGAAAUUGUAAAAGGAAGAUCUGCCUCUUUCAGCAAUUUAUUUUUUUAAUCACAACUGCAUGUAAAAUGAUAGUACCAUAGAAUAACAACUAUACUUUUUGCUCAAACAUGAGAAUUCAAGAAUAGUCCAGAAGGAAGACAGGCAGUCCUUAAGAAAGAAGUAUGAAAUAAUAAAGUUUACCAAUCUGAAGAUCCUGCAUGUUCAGACAUGUUCCUUUCAUGAUCUUCAACGCAGCUACCUCCUGAGAAGGAACACUUCUCAUGAUGUUGUUUCAUUUGGGCAACCAGGGCUUACAUUUCUUUGUUGCACUGUUUGCAUUUUGCACGCAUGCCUGUCUUAUCCACAGGUACAGGAACUUCAUUAAAAUAUUCACAAACUGGGUCUCUUUUACGGCCUGCUGCCAUUAUAAGUUUUCCCUUCUAGUGAGAGAAUGGUAUGGUAGAUCUCAAAUCAAUAAAGGUUACACUCAGAAAGACCUCAAGACUUCUGGAAUAGGCUGCUCAGACAGUUUCACUUUUUUCUAUUACCUGUCCCUCCCUUCUCACAUUUAUCUCCAGACUUAUCCUUGUCCAGAUCAAUUACGCCCCCAACAAUCUUCUAUUCAUUGAACUUUUUGAAACUUUGCACUUUUAGAGAGAGGUAAGGGAUUGACUCUGUGUACACAAAUUUGCGGAGGGACAAUAGGGUUGAGGUCUGUUGUUUCUCACCUGUUGAUAUAUUUAUUUAUUUUGAAACAUUUUUGCUGUUAACAAGCAUGUUAUCUCUGGAGAGACAAAUCCACAGUUUGAGAACGGCAAAACUAAGCAUCUCUGAUGGUAUCUUCCAGACUGAGCACUGAGUCCCAGUGGGUAGAUAGAAAGAUUAACCUAAAUAAUCUAUACAGAAGCCCCUGGAACCCCAUAAUAUUGGAUCCCUAAUCCAUGAACUAUUGGAACUCAUUUACAAAACUUUUCUUAAACAUUACAUGACUAUAUUGUCCCAUACUAUAGAAUUAAUAAUCCCUAUUCCAUGAUGAGAUAUCUUUGAGCUAUAAUGAAUCUUAAUUAAAAUUAUCUUAAGAUAGGUUUUUUUUCCCCUCAAAAAAAUCUGAUUUAAAUUUAAAAAAAAAAUCCAUUUUUUUAAAUCAUUGAUUUUUAACCACCCUGGAGAGAUAAUAAUCUACUGCAUGUGGGUUCAGUAACUCAAGGGACUAACUAAAGUCAAAGGGCCCAAUGCAGGCCACAGAUAGACCUAUACAGCCCUUCAGGAAAUCACUGGAAGCUGUGCAUGCAUGUCUAAGGACAGAAUGAAGCCCAGAAGGUCAAGAUGAGAAUGCAGCUUUGAUAAGUUUUUUUUUCUGUAGUAUUGAAACUCAUAUGUUCGUAGAGUGAAUAUCUGGUCUGUGCAUCCACGCCCCUUCUGAAACUCAUAGACUUUUGCUGGCUGGUAACAGCUCUUGUUGUAUACAGUAUGUCUUAUUGCUUACUUUGAAGUCUCUUGACUCUCCCAGUGCCCAAUUCUCAAUUUUUUUUUAUCCCCGCCCUUCCAGGACUUCAUAAACUCUAAAACAGAUAAUCUCUCUGACCAGCUACAUAUACCUCAAAGUGGAGACAUGGCAGGAUACAAACCAUUUGGUCACUGUUUUGUCCUAUAUAGUCUAUCU